Molecule: ribosomal RNA, 466 nt
Filed under: Vreelandella stevensii
Lineage: Bacteria; Pseudomonadati; Pseudomonadota; Gammaproteobacteria; Oceanospirillales; Halomonadaceae
Description: partial 16S ribosomal RNA
Rfam family: Bacterial small subunit ribosomal RNA
Source: RNAcentral
CCUACGGGUGGCAGCAGUGGGGAAUAUUGGACAAUGGGGGGAACCCUGAUCCAGCCAUGCCGCGUGUGUGAAGAAGGCCCUCGGGUUGUAAAGCACUUUCAGUGAGGAAGAACGCCUGGUGGUUAAUACCCAUCAGGAAAGACAUCACUCACAGAAGAAGCACCGGCUACACUCCGUGCCAGCAGCCGCGGUAAUACGGAGGGUGCGAGCGUUAAUCGGAAUUACUGGGCGUAAAGCGCGCGUAGGUGGCUUGAUAAGCCGGUUGUGAAAGCCCCGGGCUCAACCUGGGAACGGCAUCCGGAACUGUCAAGCUAGAGUGCAGGAGAGGAAGGUAGAAUUCCCGGUGUAGCGGUGAAAUGCGUAGAGAUCGGGAGGAAUACCAGUGGCGAAGGCGGCCUUCUGGACUGACACUGACACUGAGGUGCGAAAGCGUGGGUAGCAAACAGGAUUAGAUACCCGUGUAGUC